RNAcentral lists this ribosomal RNA (481 nucleotides) under uncultured Rikenellaceae bacterium. Its description in RNAcentral is "bacterial SSU rRNA". It matches the Rfam family "Bacterial small subunit ribosomal RNA", at positions 902 to 1382 of the family's 1533-position model. The record is from RNAcentral. Lineage: Bacteria; Pseudomonadati; Bacteroidota; Bacteroidia; Bacteroidales; Rikenellaceae.
CAAAGGAAUUGACGGGGGCCCGCACAAGCGGAGGAACAUGUGGUUUAAUUCGAGUGAUACGCGAGGAACCUUACCUGGGCUAGAACGCAUUCGGAAUCAGGCCGAAAGGCCUGCGCCAGCGAUGGCCGCUUGCGAGGUGCUGCAUGGUUGUCGUCAGCUCGUGCCGUGAGGUGUCGGGUUAAGUCCCAUAACGAGCGCAACCCCUACUGCUAGUUGCCAGCGGGUCAUGCCGGGGACUCUAGCGGAACUGCCAGCGUAAGCUGCGAGGAAGGUGGGGAUGACGUCAAAUCAGCACGGCCCUUACGUCCAGGGCUACACACGUGUUACAAUGGCCGGUACAGAGGGCAGCCACCCCGCGAGGGGGCGCGAAUCCCGAAAGCCGGUCCCAGUUCGGAUCGGAGUCUGCAACCCGACUCCGUGAAGCUGGAUUCGCUAGUAAUCGCGCAUCAGCCACGGCGCGGUGAAUACGUUCCCGGGCCUU